Molecule: ribosomal RNA, 547 nt
Filed under: uncultured fungus
Lineage: Eukaryota; Fungi
Description: eukaryotic LSU rRNA
Rfam family: 5.8S ribosomal RNA (bases 189-342)
Source: RNAcentral
AGUCGUAACAAGGUUUCCGUAGGUGAACCUGCGGAAGGAUCAUUACCUAGAGUUUGUAGACUUCGGUCUGCUACCUCUUACCCAUGUCUUUUGAGUACCUUCGUUUCCUCGGCGGGUCCGCCCGCCGAUUGGACAACAUUCAAACCCUUUGCAGUUGCAAUCAGCGUCUGAAAAAACAUAAUAGUUACAACUUUCAACAACGGAUCUCUUGGUUCUGGCAUCGAUGAAGAACGCAGCGAAAUGCGAUAAGUAGUGUGAAUUGCAGAAUUCAGUGAAUCAUCGAAUCUUUGAACGCAUAUUGCGCCCCUUGGUAUUCCAUGGGGCAUGCCUGUUCGAGCGUCAUUUGUACCUUCAAGCUCUGCUUGGUGUUGGGUGUUUGUCUCGCCUCUGCGUGUAGACUCGCCUUAAAACAAUUGGCAGCCGGCGUAUUGAUUUCGGAGCGCAGUACAUCUCGCGCUUUGCACUCAUAACGACGACGUCCAAAAGUACAUUUUUACACUCUUGACCUCGGAUCAGGUAGGGAUACCCGCUGAACUUAAGCAUAUCA